This 253-nucleotide ribosomal RNA is filed under the name uncultured bacterium. Its description in RNAcentral is "partial 16S ribosomal RNA". It matches the Rfam family "Bacterial small subunit ribosomal RNA", at positions 524 to 776 of the family's 1533-position model. The record is from RNAcentral.
UACGUAGGGUGCAAGCGUUGUCCGGAAUUAUUGGGCGUAAAGAGCUCGUAGGCGGUCUGUCGCGUCUGCUGUGAAAAUCCAGGGCUCAACCCUGGACCUGCAGUGGGUACGGGCAGACUAGAGUGCGGUAGGGGAGAUCGGAAUUCCUGGUGUAGCGGUGAAAUGCGCAGAUAUCAGGAGGAACACCGGUGGCGAAGGCGGCUCACUGGACCGGUACUGACGCUGAUGCGCGAAAGCGUGGGGAGCAAACGGG